This 951-nucleotide ribosomal RNA is filed under the name Gnathostoma binucleatum. Its description in RNAcentral is "16S ribosomal RNA". Lineage: Eukaryota; Metazoa; Nematoda; Chromadorea; Rhabditida; Gnathostomatidae. The record is from RNAcentral.
AUAUUUGUUUUUUAUUUAUUUUUUGGUAUUGCAUAUCAGAAAUUGAAAAUUUUAUUUGUUAAUGAAAAAUAGAACUAAGAGGUAGAGAAAGUAAAGGUUUUAUUGUUUUAAAAUAAAAGUUAUAUUUUCUGGUGUUGAUAUGUCGGCUCUUAUGAUAUCUGUUUUGUUAAAUAUUUACUAGAAAAUUGUAUUUUUAUAUAAAAGAUAUUGGAAGAUGGUGAUUUGAAGUGUUCUUAGUAUUUUGUUUUAUAACAGUUUUCAUGUUUUUUUGGGGGAGUUAUUUAGAUUUUAAAGAUUUUUAAAAUUUUAUAGUGGUUUCAUUAGUAGUUGAUUUUAAGGUAAGGUUUAUGUGAUUAAAAUUGUAAAGAGAAAUAAAGUUCUGGUCAAAUGUUUAUUAAAGUCUUAGGUUUUAAGUUAAAAUUCGCCUCUGCUCCAUGAAGGUUUUAAAUAGCAGUCUUAGCGUGAGGACAUUAAGGUAGCAAAAUAAUUUGUGUUUUUAUUGGAUUCCAGUAUGAAUGGGGUUUUGGUCAGUAUUUUUCUUUAAUAAGUAUGAAUUUAAGGUCUUUUUAAUAAAUAGAGGGUUUAUUUAAACAAAGAUAAGUCUUUGGAAAUUCUAUUAAUUCUUUAAUUAAGUUUUCUAGGGUAGAAUUGUUUAUAAUUAUUUGUUGCUAAAAAUAGUAGAAAGAAUUACUCCAGAGUUAACAGAAAAUCAUAUCUUAUCUAGAUCUUAUAGUAAGAUAAGUUUUACAUCGAUGUUGUAUUUUAUUUUUGAAAAAAGUAGAAGAUUUUUUAAUUUGAGACUGUUCUUCUUGAAAUAAAUGAACGUGAUAUUAGUUUAGCCCAUUGUGAAAUAGGGCGGUUUAUCUUGUUAAUUAAUUAUUUUUAAUUUAAUUAGUACGAAAGGAAUAUUAUAUAGGCUUUGAGCCUUUAGAAGUUGUGAAACUUAUUUGU